CAGAGGUACUGCUMUSGRGAUUCGACUAAGCCAUGCGAGUUGAAUGUUCUUCGUGAACAUGGCGGACUGCUCAGUAACACGUGGACAACCUACCCUUGGGUCCGGCAUAAUCCUGGGAAACUGGGAAUAAUUCCGGAUAGGUCACCGAUGCUGGAAUGCGCGGUGGCCGAAAGCUCCGGCGCCCGAGGAUGGGUCUGCGGCCUAUCAGGGUUGUAGUGGGUGUAACGUACCUACUAGCCUACGACGGGUACGGGUUGUGAGAGCAAGAGCCCGGAGAUGGAUUCUGAGACACGAAUCCAGGCCCUACGGGGUGCAGCAGGCGCGAAAACUUUACAAUGCGGGAAACCGUGAUAAGGGGAUCUCGAGUGCCAGCAUAUAAUGUUGGCUGUCCAGAUGCCUAAAAAGCAUCUGUUAGCAAGGGCCGGGCAAGACCGGUGCCAGCCGCCGCGGUAACACCGGCGGCCCGAGUGGUAACCGCUAUUAUUGGGUCUAAAGGGUCUGUAGCCGGCCAGGUAAGUCCCUUGGGAAAUCUGGCAGCUCAACUGUCAGGCUGCUAGGGGAUACUGUUUGGCUUGGGACCGGGAGAGGUGAGAGGUACCUUGGGGGUAGGGGUGAAAUCUUGUGAUCCUCGAGGGACCACCAGUGGCGAAGGCGUCUCACCAGAACGGGUCCGACGGUAAGGGACGAAAGCUAGGGGCACGAACCGGAUUAGAUACCCGGGUAGUCCUAGCCGUAAACGAUGCUCGCUAGGUGUCAGUCACGGUGCGACCGUGAUUGGUGCCGUAGGGAAGCCGUGAAGCGAGCCACCUGGGAAGUAUGGCCGCAAGGCUGAAACUUAAAGGAAUUGGCGGGRGMGCRCKWCAWCGGGUGGAGCCUGCGGUUAAUG
Molecule: ribosomal RNA, 886 nt
Filed under: uncultured Methanosaeta sp.
Lineage: Archaea; Methanobacteriati; Methanobacteriota; Methanomicrobia; Methanotrichales; Methanotrichaceae
Description: bacterial SSU rRNA
Rfam family: Archaeal small subunit ribosomal RNA
Source: RNAcentral